RNAcentral lists this ribosomal RNA (2349 nucleotides) under Triticum aestivum (bread wheat). RNAcentral describes it as "partial small subunit ribosomal RNA". Lineage: Eukaryota; Viridiplantae; Streptophyta; Magnoliopsida; Poales; Poaceae. The record is from RNAcentral.
AAAAACACCCAAGUGUCAUCUGGUAAUCAGUGUGUUGAUUCUUCUACCCUUGCACUUGCAAUUGUUCCUUGCAAUGAUUCUAGAGAUGGUCAGACAGAGACAAAUAAUAUGGAGGUAGAGGAUGAUAAUAUUGAUGAUGUUGAUGAUUCUUUUCGGUCUGAUAUAUUCGAUCCAAGAAACUGGGAUUCUCUUGAUUCUAACCAGAUUGAUAUCUUAGCACAAAAGGGUCCAAAAAGACACAUAUUAAUUAAGAAAUGUCCCAAAGAUAGAUAUCGUAGGUUUACUACAAUAUUCUAUAUUAGAUUCCUAUCAAAUGGAGAGUAUUGUGAUAGAGAAUGGCUUGUCUAUGCUAGACAACUUGAUGUCUUUUUAUUUGAUUGUAAAUUAUUUACAAAAAGUUUUCGGAAAGGUCAGUUGGCAAAUGAGGGUUGUAAUGAUUGGUCACAUAUGACCAAUAGACUAAAAGAUCACGAGCCAAUUGUGGAUCAUGUUUUGAGUAUGACAAAUUGGUAUGAGCUGCGCAGUAGAUUAGAAAAACAUCAAACUAUUGAUAAAGCAGCUCAACGACAACUUGAGAAAGAGAAGGACCAUUGGAGAAAGGUAUUUUUCAGAAUUGUUUGCAUUCUAAAAUUUCUUGCCAAGCAUAAUCUAGCAUUCCGUGGUACGAAUGGCAAGUUGUAUGAAGAUAGCAAUGGUGAUUUCUUGGGUUUGGUAGAGAUGUUGCCUGAAUUUGACCCUAUUAUUCAGGAGCAUGUUCGUCAUAUUACAAAUGAAGAAAAUCAUGCUCAUUAUCUUGAUCAUAAGAUUCAGAAUGAAUUGCUACACUUGCUUGAUUCAUGUAUUAGGUCUGAAAUUAUCAAGAAAAUAAAGAGCUCAAAGUAUUUCUCUGUCAUACUUGAUUGUACUCCUGAUGCAAGUCUCCAUGAGCAAAUUUCUUUAAUUAUAAGACAUGUGGAUUCAUCUUCAAGUCAAGUUUGCAUAGAAGAGUCCUUUCUAGGAUUUCUUGAUGUAAAUGAUACAACUGGCCAAGGACUUUUUGAAGUGCUACAGAACAAGCUAAAACUUUUUGAUCCUGAUAUAAAUGAUGUGCGAGGACAAGGUUACGAUAAUGUAUCAAAUAUGAAAGGAACGCAUCAAGGGGUACAAAGAAAACUUUUGGAUGUAAAUCCUAGAGCUUUUUAUUCUGCUUGUGGUUGUCAUAGCCUUGAUUUAACACUUUGUGAUAUGGCCAAGACUUGUGGUAGAGCAAAAGACUUUUUUGGAAUCAUCCAGCACAUCUAUACAAUGUUUGCCAAUUCUACUAAGAAAUGGCAUAUUUUGAAAAAAAACAUAUUAGGAUUGGCUCUCAAGUCCCUGUCAGCUACACGUUGGGAGAGUCGUGUUGAAGUUAAAGCUAUUAGAUUUCAAUGUUCAGACAUUUGGGAGGCUCUACUUCAGGUAUCUGAAAUUGAUAGUGAUCCAAAGGCAAGCAGUGAGGAUCUAGGUUUGGCGAACAAUGAACUUGAAGGGUAUGAAUUUAUUGUGGCAAUAGAAAUUUAGUAUGAGGUAUUGUCUGCUAUUAAUUUAGUAAGGAAGAACUUGCAAACAAAGGAUAUGAUUAUUGAUGUUGCAGUUGAGAAAGUGAAAGGACUUAUGUCUUUCUUCAAGGGAUACAGAGCAACUAGUUUCUUAGAAGCAUUGGAGAUAGCCAAAGAAAUUGCAGUUGAGAUGGAUAUUGAUGCAACAUUUAGUAAAAUGAGAGAAAUUAAAAGAAAGAAACAAUUUGAUGAGAACCCAGACGACACAAAUAUUGCCACACAGUCUGCAGAGGAAUCAUUUAGAGUCAACCAUUUUAUAUGUGUUGUUGAUCAAGCAGUUUCCUCACUCACAAGGAGAAUUGAGCAAUAUGAAGGUUACCAAAAAAUAUUCGGUUUCUUAUUUACCUCUGAAACAUUAUGUUCAUUGGAUAAGGAUAGUUUGAAAUCUUCUUGUGUUAAUAUUCAGGCUGCCCUUAUGAAGGAUAAACAAUCUGUUAUUGAUGCCAAUGCUUUAUUUAAUUUGAAGUUUCUUCAAAAUUUCAUGCCAAAAGAAAAUAUCGGACCUGUUGAAAUUCUGAAUUUUUUAAAGUGGCUCGAUUGUUUUCCCAAUGCAAGUAUUGCAUAUAGACAUCUGUUGGCCAUUCCUGUGACAGUUGCAUUGGCAGAAAGAAGUUUUUCUAAAUUGAAGCCAUUGAAGUCAUAUAUGCGCACUGCUAUGACACAGCAAAGACUCAAUGAUUUGGCCACAAUAGCACUUGAGAGUGAAGUGUUGGAGAAUAUUGAUUAUGAGUAUAUCGUUGAAGAUUCCAUUCAAAGAAUACUAAAAGAAUGA